This 253-nucleotide ribosomal RNA is filed under the name uncultured bacterium. RNAcentral's name for it is "partial 16S ribosomal RNA". It matches the Rfam family "Bacterial small subunit ribosomal RNA", at positions 524 to 776 of the family's 1533-position model. The record is from RNAcentral.
UACGAAGGGUGCAAGCGUUACUCGGAAUUACUGGGCGUAAAGCGUGCGUAGGCGGUUUGUUAAGUCUGUCGUGAAAGCCCCGGGCUCAACCUGGGAAUGGCGAUGGAUACUGGCGAGCUAGAGUACGGUAGAGGAGAGUGGAAUUCCCGGUGUAGCAGUGAAAUGCGUAGAGAUCGGGAGGAACAUCAGUUGCGAAGGCGGCUCUCUGGACCAGUACUGACGCUGAGACACGAAAGCGUGGGGAGCAAACAGG